RNAcentral lists this ribosomal RNA (153 nucleotides) under uncultured Bacillus sp. RNAcentral's name for it is "partial 16S ribosomal RNA". It matches the Rfam family "Bacterial small subunit ribosomal RNA", at positions 1232 to 1382 of the family's 1533-position model. Lineage: Bacteria; Bacillati; Bacillota; Bacilli; Caryophanales; Bacillaceae. The record is from RNAcentral.
GGCCGGUACAGACGGACGCAAAGCCGCGAGGUGGAGCAAAUCCUAAAAAGCCGGUCUCAGUUCGGAUUGCAGGCUGCAAUUCGCCUGCAUGAAGUCGGAAUCGCUAGUAAUCGCAGGUCAGCAUACUCGCGGUCCGAAUACGUUCCGGGCCUU